GCUGCAUGGCUGUCGUCAGCUCGUGUUGUGAAAUGUUGGGUUAAGUCCCGCAACGAGCGCAACCCUUAUCCUUUGUUGCCAGCGGUCCGGCCGGGAACUCAAAGGAGACUGCCAGUGAUAAACUGGAGGAAGGUGGGGAUGACGUCAAGUCAUCAUGGCCCUUACGACCAGGGCUACACACGUGCUACAAUGGCGCAUACAAAGAGAAGCGACCUCGCGAGAGCAAGCGGACCUCAUAAAGUGCGUCGUAGUCCGGAUUGGAGUCUGCAACUCGACUCCAUGAAGUCGGAAUCGCUAGUAAUCGUGGAUCAGAAUGCCACGGUGAAUACGUUCCCGGGCCUUGUACACACCGCCCGUCACACCAUGGGAGUGGGUUGCAAA
This 381-nucleotide ribosomal RNA is filed under the name Shigella dysenteriae. Its description in RNAcentral is "bacterial SSU rRNA". It matches the Rfam family "Bacterial small subunit ribosomal RNA", at positions 1040 to 1421 of the family's 1533-position model. The record is from RNAcentral. Lineage: Bacteria; Pseudomonadati; Pseudomonadota; Gammaproteobacteria; Enterobacterales; Enterobacteriaceae.